GCUCGGGCUCUGUCGGACCCAGUUAAUUACCGUAGCCGAGUCAGUCUCCAGCAAUACUGAAGUCGCUUGAAGCACCUAUCGUACGUAACACAUACCCAUCCAGGCCACCCACAGCUAUGCGCUAGGAAGGCAUAUAAAAAGUUGUGGAAGUAGGGAUAGAAAGUCUGAAUCAGAUAUAUGCAAAAUUUUUAUUAAUGCAAUAUUUAGUCAUAAACUCCAAGCCCAGAAAAAUAGGUUUUCGCCCUGUUCAUAUUUAUGUUAAUUAUUAAUUAAUGUAUGGAUUUCUUGUUUUGAUGCUCCGACGGGGCGUGGUGGCGCAAAUCUUUCGCCGACUC
This 335-nucleotide long non-coding RNA is filed under the name Phoenix dactylifera (date palm). Its description in RNAcentral is "long non-coding RNA (PDAC_LNC004914)". Lineage: Eukaryota; Viridiplantae; Streptophyta; Magnoliopsida; Arecales; Arecaceae. The record is from RNAcentral.